AGUGACUUUACCAAGAACCUGGCCUGUGAAGAGUGGGAGGACGAAGGGGAAAGUGGCUGAGGGGCUUCUCACUAUUUUUAAGACGGACAAGACUUGAGUCCAGCUGAAGUCUGAGAGGAAGACGUAAACAGGGAGAGGCUGGAGGCAGAAGAGAGCAUGACGGGGCUUUAUACUGUUGGUUAAACUUCUGCCGGCGGACGCAGCAGCAGGCGGCCAGCGUGGUGAGGAGGAUGGCAGAGACCAGUAUGAAGGUCAAGCCAGGUGAGCUGGAACUCAGCCUGGGGCUGGGAGGCCGUCUGAAAGGCCUCGAUGCUGUUGCAGCUCAGGUCUAGCACCCGCAGCUGCUGGAGGCUGAAGUCGGAGAUGCAGGCCUCCAGGAACCCCAGCCUUUCCCAGAAAAAGGUCUGACUUCCACAAUCACCGGGCUCAGGCUCACCGCCCCCAGCUUCUGUCUCCGCCAACCCGUUCUGACCCACUCACUGCUAAAUGCCUGACAACUGCUCAAAAGCUCUACUCUGACAAUGAGGCAGCUUGGCUUAAACUUCUCCACGGUGAAGUCCAGGAUCCCCAGCAGGGCCUUCGAGGCUGUUUGUAGCCCCUGCCAACCUGUCCCCCACCUCCCACCCCAGCCCACAUGCAGUGACCACAGCUGACCACUGCCCAUCAUGCGCUCCCACACCCACUGCUGGGGCCUGCUCCCUGAGCUGGUUAUGCCAUCCCCAACCAGAUCCACACAUGAACUCUUCACACUGAGCUUCAGGGCCUCCUCCACCAGGGAGCCCUCCCUGACUGUGCUUCCUCUCAGAGCUUUGCCCCGCUGAAUUGUGGCUGUGUGUGUGAGGACCUGCUAGACAGCGAGCUCAGAGCAAACAGGGACUGGUUUGGUGGAUGUGCAUGCCUUGGACCUGACUAGCAAGUCAAUUUUUCCUAAUGAAUGAGUCCCAGACAUCAUCAGUUUAGUAAAGGUCUGAGGCACUGAAUCAAUCACUUCUCUAGGAGGAAAGAAAAUGCAUAAUUGAUAUUUUCAAAAUAUAGUCAAAGACGGGUAGAGCAAGAAGAGUUCAGCUGACCCACUUCCCAGAUGUGAACACUGAGGCCUGAAGAUGGCAGUGACUUGCGUGAAUUCACAGUGAGCCAGUGGCUGAGCUGGUAGGGAGGGAACACAAGCCGGUGUGUUCCUCCCCUGGUCCAGCUCUGCGCUUCCUCCUGAGAGCCCCAAGAACCCUGCCACAUCAUGUAAACAAUCCCGGACUAGCCUGCUGGAGGAAGAUAGACUGUGGAACAGAAUUGAGUUCCACAAGGCUCCAGAGACAUGAGAGAACCCAACUGAGAUCAGCAGAGCAGCUACCUCACCCAUGGCUGACCACAGAUGUAUGAGUGUGUCCAGAAGAACUUUCUGGUGGCCCCAUAGGUUUGUGAACAAUAAUAAAUGCUUAUCAUUUUA
This 1444-nucleotide long non-coding RNA is filed under the name Homo sapiens (human). RNAcentral's name for it is "HSALNT0363920". The record is from RNAcentral. Lineage: Eukaryota; Metazoa; Chordata; Mammalia; Primates; Hominidae.